Grammomys surdaster is the source of this 107-nucleotide small nuclear RNA. The record is from RefSeq and is a predicted model, not a curated record. NCBI's taxonomy places the organism in Eukaryota, Metazoa, Chordata, Mammalia, Rodentia, Muridae.
UUGCUGGUCUUUGGCAGCAUAUAUACUAAAGUUGGAACAAUACAGAGAAGAUUAGCAUGGCUCCUGCCCAAGUAGUGCUUUUUUAAGGAGAAAAGGGGAAGUGUGUG